Molecule: ribosomal RNA, 503 nt
Filed under: uncultured Glomus
Lineage: Eukaryota; Fungi; Glomeromycota; Glomeromycetes; Glomerales; Glomeraceae
Description: SSU rRNA
Rfam family: Eukaryotic small subunit ribosomal RNA
Source: RNAcentral
AGCAGCCGCGGUAAUUCCAGCUCCAAUAGCGUAUAUUAAAGUUGUUGCAGUUAAAAAGCUCGUAGUUGAAUUUCGGGAUCAUCAGGUUGGUCGUGCCUCUGGUAUGUACUGAUUUCGAUGGUCCCUCCUUCUUGAAGAGCCGUAAUGCCAUUAAUUUGGUGUUGCGGGGAAUCAGGACUGUUACUUUGAAAAAAUUAGAGUGUUUAAAGCAGGCAAUCGCUUGAAUACAUUAGCAUGGAAUAAUGAAAUAGGACGUUCGAUCCUAUUUUGUUGGUUUCUAGGAUUGACGUAAUGAUUAAUAGGGAUAGUUGGGGGCAUUAGCAUUCAAUUGUCAGAGGUGAAAUUCUUGGAUUUAUUGAAGACUAACUACUGCGAAAGCAUUUGCCAAGGAUGUUUUCAUUAAUCAAGAACGAAAGUUAGGGGAUCGAAGACGAUCAGAUACCGUCGUAGUCUUAACCAUAAACUAUGCCGACUAGGGAUCGGAUGAUGUUAAUUUUUAAUGA